This 279-nucleotide long non-coding RNA is filed under the name Nicotiana benthamiana. RNAcentral's name for it is "long non-coding RNA (NBEN_LNC042050)". Lineage: Eukaryota; Viridiplantae; Streptophyta; Magnoliopsida; Solanales; Solanaceae. The record is from RNAcentral.
GCCAUUUCAAAUCAAAAUAAAAGACUAGAAAGAAGGUCAACUGAAGAUGACAUAAUCUUCAUAAGAAGACGUGUGAGUCUAUCUUUCGAUUAGCAAAGAAGGAAGGAGGCAAAGCAAGGGUUUCUUCUUUCUUUCAGAGUGAGAAAGGGAAAGCAAACGAAUCGAAGCGUGGAGGCUUAAUCCCUACAAAUUAGAAUAAAAGAAAAACACUUGGAACUGGUUCUUCUAUCUGAUUCAUGUAGUUUCAGGUUUGCACAGUUGAAUUACACACGAAUUACU